Molecule: ribosomal RNA, 467 nt
Filed under: uncultured bacterium
Lineage: Bacteria
Description: partial 16S ribosomal RNA
Rfam family: Bacterial small subunit ribosomal RNA
Source: RNAcentral
GACGAACGCUGGCGGCGUGCUUAACACAUGCAAGUCGAACGGAAAGGCCUCUUUCGGGGGGUACUCGAGUGGCGAACGGGUGAGUAACACGUGAGUAACCUGCCCUUGACUUUGGGAUAACUUCAGUAAACUGGGGCUAAUACCGGAUAGGAGCUCCUGCUGCAUGGUGGGGGUUGGAAAGUUUCGGCGGUUGGGGAUGGACUCGCGGCUUAUCAGCUUGUUGGUGGGGUAGUGGCUUACCAAGGCUUUGACGGGUAGCCGGCCUGAGAGGGUGACCGGCCACAUUGGGACUGAGAUACGGCCCAGACUCCUACGGGAGGCAGAAGGGGGGAAUAUUGCACAAUGGGUGGAAGCCUGAUGCAGCAACGCCGUGUGCGGGAGGACGGCCUUAGGGUUGUAAACCGCUUUCGCUCAUGACGAAGCUUUGUGUAACGGUAGUGGGUAAAGAAGCACCGGCUAACUACGUG